GUCCUGAAGGCUCAACGGUAGAGCAUACGAUUUAGUCGUAAGAUGCAGGUUCGACUCCUGCUCAGGAUA
Molecule: non-coding RNA, 69 nt
Organism: Rhizophagus irregularis
Lineage: Eukaryota; Fungi; Glomeromycota; Glomeromycetes; Glomerales; Glomeraceae
Source: Rfam